GCAGUGGUAGUUCAGUUGGUUAGAAUACCGGCCUGUCACGCCGGGGGUCGCGGGUUCGCGUCCCGUCCACUGCGCCA
Molecule: transfer RNA, 77 nt
Filed under: Gammaproteobacteria bacterium
Lineage: Bacteria; Pseudomonadati; Pseudomonadota; Gammaproteobacteria
Description: tRNA-Asp
Rfam family: tRNA
About the family: Transfer RNA (tRNA) molecules are approximately 80 nucleotides in length. Their secondary structure includes four short double-helical elements and three loops (D, anti-codon, and T loops).
Source: RNAcentral